AUUUAUAUAGUUUAAUACAAAACCUUACAUUUUCAUUGUAAUAAUAAAACAAAAGUUUUUAUAAAUU
This 67-nucleotide transfer RNA is filed under the name Rivellia apicalis. Its description in RNAcentral is "tRNA-Glu". The record is from RNAcentral. Lineage: Eukaryota; Metazoa; Arthropoda; Insecta; Diptera; Platystomatidae.